UGGGGAAUUUUGGACAAUGGGGGCAACCCUGAUCCAGCCAUGCCGCGUGUCUGAAGAAGGCCUUCGGGUUGUAAAGGACUUUUGUUAGGGAGGAAAAGGGAAGUGCUAAUACCACUUUUUGCUGACGGUACCUAAAGAAUAAGCACCGGCUAACUACGUGCCAGCAGCCGCGGUAAUACGUAGGGUGCGAGCGUUAAUCGGAAUUACUGGGCGUAAAGCGAGCGCAGACGGUUACUUAAGCAGGAUGUGAAAUCCCCGGGCUCAACCCGGGAACUGCGUUCUGAACUGGGUAGCUAGAGUAUGUCAGAGGGGGGUAGAAUUCCACGUGUAGCAGUGAAAUGCGUAGAGAUGUGGAGGAAUACCGAUGGCGAAGGCAGCCCCCUGGGAUAAUACUGACGUUCAUGCUCGAAAGCGUGGGUAGCAAACAGGAUUAGAUACCCUGGUAGUCCACGCCCUAAACGAUGUCGAUUAGCUGUUGGGCAGCUUGACUGCUUAGUAGCGAAGCUAACGCGUGAAAUCGACCGCCUGGGGAGUACGGUCGCAAGAUUA
Molecule: ribosomal RNA, 549 nt
Filed under: uncultured bacterium
Lineage: Bacteria
Description: bacterial SSU rRNA
Rfam family: Bacterial small subunit ribosomal RNA
Source: RNAcentral